GUGCUCAUGUCAGUGGCUUGUAUGCUAAAAUUGGCAUGAUACAGGUAUUAGCAUGGCCCUUGUGUAAGGAAGACCCAUAAGUUCAUGGCUCGGUCCAUAUGCUU
Molecule: small nuclear RNA, 104 nt
Organism: Mus pahari (shrew mouse)
Lineage: Eukaryota; Metazoa; Chordata; Mammalia; Rodentia; Muridae
Source: RefSeq, a predicted model, not a curated record